UUUAGUACGGGAAAUUGAAGAAGCACAGGAAUAUAAUUAUGGAAAUGGGAAUAUGAAGAUCAGCAUCAGAGAUUGAAGGGCAUCAGCUGGUGCAAUAUCUGGGAGUGCAUGCUACGGUGGUUUUUCCUCUUCAGAUUGUAAUUGGUCAUCUGUGCGGUCUGGCUUUCUUUGAUACUUUUGUGGAAGAUGGAGGUAAAAGUUGGAAAGGAUCGAUGGCUCUUUUCUUGUCAAGAUAUGGUGGAAACAAACAAUGAGAUUAUUCAGAUA
Molecule: long non-coding RNA, 267 nt
Organism: Coffea eugenioides
Lineage: Eukaryota; Viridiplantae; Streptophyta; Magnoliopsida; Gentianales; Rubiaceae
Exons: 2
Source: RefSeq, a predicted model, not a curated record